Molecule: ribosomal RNA, 477 nt
Filed under: uncultured bacterium
Lineage: Bacteria
Description: partial 16S ribosomal RNA
Rfam family: Bacterial small subunit ribosomal RNA
Source: RNAcentral
GAUUAACGCUGGCGGCGUGCAUAACACAUGCAAGUCGAACGAUGAAGAUUAUUAGACUUCUUCGGAAUGAAAAUAAUUGGAUUAGUGGCGGACGGGUGAGUAACGCGUGAGUAACCUGCCUUACACAAGGGGAUAGCCGUUGGAAACGACGAAUAAUACCCUAUGAAACUAUCACUUCGCAUGAAGCGAUAGUCAAAGUGUUAGCGGUGUAAGAUGGACUUGCGUCUGAUUAGCUAGUUGGUGAGAAAAAAGCCCACCAAGGCAACGAUCAGUAGCCGGCUUGAGAGAGUGUACGGCCACAUUGGGACUGAGACACGGCCCAGACUCCUACGGGAGGCAGCAGUGGGGAAUUUUGCACAAUGGGGGAAACCCUGAUGCAGCGACGCCGCGUGAUUUAGAAGGCCUUCGGGUUGUAAAAAUCUUUUGUAUAGGAAGAAAAUGACAGUACUAUACGAAUAAGGUCCGGCUAAUUACGUG